UACGAGGGGUCCUAGCGUUGUUCGGAAUCAUUGGGCGUAAAGCGUCUGUAGGCGGCUUUGUAAGUCGGGUGUGAAAGCCCCAGGCUCAACCUGGGAAGUGCAUUCGAUACUGCAUAGCUUGAAUGUUGGAGAGGAUAGUAGAAUUCCAGGUGUAGUGGUGAAAUACGUAGAUAUCUGGAGGAAUACCGGUGGCGAAGGCGGCUAUCUGGCCAAACAUUGACGCUGAGAGACGAAAGCAUGGGGAUCAAACAGGAUUAGAAACCCCCGUAGUCC
RNAcentral lists this ribosomal RNA (273 nucleotides) under uncultured bacterium. Its description in RNAcentral is "partial 16S ribosomal RNA". It matches the Rfam family "Bacterial small subunit ribosomal RNA", at positions 524 to 796 of the family's 1533-position model. The record is from RNAcentral.